This 469-nucleotide ribosomal RNA is filed under the name uncultured bacterium. RNAcentral's name for it is "bacterial SSU rRNA". It matches the Rfam family "Bacterial small subunit ribosomal RNA", at positions 60 to 524 of the family's 1533-position model. The record is from RNAcentral.
AGUCGAGCGGAUGAAGGGAGCUUGCUCCCUGAUUCAGCGGCGGACGGGUGAGUAAUGCCUAGGAAUCUGCCUGGUAGUGGGGGACAACGUCUCGAAAGGGACGCUAAUACCGCAUACGUCCUACGGGAGAAAGUGGGGGAUCUUCGGACCUCACGCUAUCAGAUGAGCCUAGGUCGGAUUAGCUAGUUGGUGAGGUAAUGGCUCACCAAGGCGACGAUCCGUAACUGGUCUGAGAGGAUGAUCAGUCACACUGGAACUGAGACACGGUCCAGACUCCUACGGGAGGCAGCAGUGGGGAAUUUUGGACAAUGGGCGAAAGCCUGAUCCAGCAAUGCCGCGUGAGUGAAGAAGGCCUUCGGGUUGUAAAGCACUUUAAGCGAGGAGGAAGGUUCGUUACUUAAUACGUAACGGAAUUGACGUUACUCGCAGAAUAAGCACCGGCUAACUCUGUGCCAGCAGCCGCGGUAAU